UAAGCAUACUGGAAAGGGUGCUUGGAUAAA
RNAcentral lists this ribosomal RNA (30 nucleotides) under Vicugna pacos (alpaca). RNAcentral's name for it is "partial 12S ribosomal RNA". Lineage: Eukaryota; Metazoa; Chordata; Mammalia; Artiodactyla; Camelidae. The record is from RNAcentral.